RNAcentral lists this ribosomal RNA (693 nucleotides) under Aurantiochytrium limacinum. Its description in RNAcentral is "partial Bacterial large subunit ribosomal RNA". It matches the Rfam family "Bacterial large subunit ribosomal RNA", at positions 1809 to 2499 of the family's 2925-position model. Lineage: Eukaryota; Bigyra; Thraustochytrida; Thraustochytriidae. The record is from RNAcentral.
AAAAACACAGGUCCGUGCGAAGUUGCAAAACGAUGUAUACGGACUGACGCCUGCCCGGUGCUGGAAGGUUAAGAGGAGUGCUUAGCGGAAACGCGAAGGUAUGAAUUGAAGCCCCAGUAAACGGCGGCCGUAACUAUAACGGUCCUAAGGUAGCGAAAUUCCUUGUCGGGUAAGUUCCGACCUGCACGAAUGGCGUAACGAUGGCCACACUGUCUCCUCCCGAGACUCAGCGAAGUUGAAAUGUUUGUGAUGAUGCAAUCUACCCGCGGCUAGACGGAAAGACCCCAUGAACCUUUACUGUAGCUUUGUAUUGGACUUUGAACGGAUCUGUGUAGGAUAGGUGGGAGGCUUUGAAGCGGGGACGCCAGUUCUCGUGGAGCCAUCCUUGAAAUACCACCCUGGUUUGUUUGAGGUUCUAACCUUGGUCCGUUAUCCGGAUCGGGGACAGUGCAUGGUAGGCAGUUUGACUGGGGCGGUCUCCUCCCAAAGAGUAACGGAGGAGCACGAAGGUACGCUCAGCGCGGUCGGACAUCGCGCACUGUGUGCAAAGGCAUAAGCGUGCUUGACUGCAAGAUCGACGGAUCAAGCAGGUACGAAAGUAGGUCAUAGUGAUCCGGUGGUUCUGAAUGGAAGGGCCAUCGCUCAACGGAUAAAAGGUACUCCGGGGAUAACAGGCUGAUACCGCCCAAGAGU